RNAcentral lists this ribosomal RNA (500 nucleotides) under uncultured bacterium. RNAcentral's name for it is "partial 16S ribosomal RNA". It matches the Rfam family "Bacterial small subunit ribosomal RNA", at positions 30 to 523 of the family's 1533-position model. The record is from RNAcentral.
AUUGAACGCUGGCGGAAUGCUUUACACAUGCAAGUCGAACGGCAGCACGGACUUCGGUCUGGUGGCGAGUGGCGAACGGGUGAGUAAUGUAUCGGAACGUGCCCAGUCGUGGGGGAUAACGUAGUGAAAGCUACGCUAAUACCGCAUACGAUCUAUGGAUGAAAGCGGGGGAUCGCAAGACCUAGCGCGACUGGAGCGGCCGAUAUCAGAUUAGGUAGUUGGUGGGGUAAAGGCCCACCAAGCCAACGAUCUGUAGCUGGUCUGAGAGGACGACCAGCCACACUGGAACUGAGACACGGUCCAGACUCCUACGGGAGGCAGCAGUGGGGAAUUUUGGACAAUGGGCGAAAGCCUGAUCCAGCCAUUCCGCGUGCAGGAUGAAGGCCCUCGGGUUGUAAACUGCUUUUGUACAGAACGAAAAGGUUUCUACUAAUACUAGGAGCUCAUGACGGUACUGUAAGAAUAAGCACCGGCUAACUACGUGCCAGCAGCCGCAGUAA